This 467-nucleotide ribosomal RNA is filed under the name uncultured bacterium. RNAcentral describes it as "partial 16S ribosomal RNA". It matches the Rfam family "Bacterial small subunit ribosomal RNA", at positions 28 to 506 of the family's 1533-position model. The record is from RNAcentral.
GACGAACGCUGGCGGCGUGCUUAACACAUGCAAGUCGAACGGAAAGGCCCUGCUUUUGUGGGGUGCUCGAGUGGCGAACGGGUGAGUAACACGUGAGUAACCUGCCCUUGACUUUGGGAUAACUUCAGGAAACUGGGGCUAAUACCGGAUAGGAGCUCCUGCUGCAUGGUGGGGGUUGGAAAGUUUCGGCGGUUGGGGAUGGACUCGCGGCUUAUCAGCUUGUUGGUGGGGUAGUGGCUUACCAAGGCUUUGACGGGUAGCCGGCCUGAGAGGGUGACCGGCAACAGGGGGACUGAGAGACGGCCCGGCCGCCUACGGGGGGCAGCACGGGGGAGGAGUGAUGAGUGGGCGGGAGCUUGCCGCAGCAACCCCGCGUGCGGGAGGGCGGCCUCCGGUUGGUAAACAGCAUGCGCCUGUGACGAAGCGGCAGUGACGGGAAUGGGUAAAGAAGCACCGCCUGCCGACGU